RNAcentral lists this long non-coding RNA (267 nucleotides) under Mytilus galloprovincialis (Mediterranean mussel). Lineage: Eukaryota; Metazoa; Mollusca; Bivalvia; Mytilida; Mytilidae. The record is from RNAcentral.
GCGAUUUUCGUCUGCUUUAUCGUCUGCAUUAUCUGAUAUAAAUCUUAUCAUGGACGAAGAAAUAAAAAAAGGAACCCGUGCACUCGUUAUGAAACCUAUAAAAAUAUAAAAAAAGAUAUAUCUGGGAGUCAAUGGAACAGUAUUCUGUUCACACAAGAACAUACAACACAAUAAAAUAAAACCAUAUUAGUUCAAAAAGUAUACAGUAUCAGUACGCGUUGCAAAGAAAAACGGCCGUAGCAACACAACUCGCAACAAAUAGGCCAC